GGCCUUGUAGCUCAGUGUGGAUAGAGCAGCCCCGUAACGAAGGGCCGGUCGCGGGUUCAAAUCCCGCCAAGGAUUA
Molecule: transfer RNA, 76 nt
Filed under: Arthrobacter jinronghuae
Lineage: Bacteria; Bacillati; Actinomycetota; Actinomycetes; Micrococcales; Micrococcaceae
Description: Arthrobacter sp. zg-Y859 tRNA-Val
Rfam family: tRNA
About the family: Transfer RNA (tRNA) molecules are approximately 80 nucleotides in length. Their secondary structure includes four short double-helical elements and three loops (D, anti-codon, and T loops).
Source: RNAcentral